GAGACAGUUCGGUCCCUAUCCGUCGCGGGCGUUGGAAAUUUGRGAGGAGCUGUCCUUAGUACGAGAGGACCGGGAUGGACUUACCGCUGGUGUACCAGUUGUUCUGCCAAGGGCAUUGCUGGGUAGCUAUGUAGGGAAGGGAUAAACGCUGAAAGCAUCUAAGUGUGAAGCCCACCUCAAGAUGAGAUUUCCCAUUUCUUUAAGAAAGUAAGAUUCCUGAGAGAUGAUCAGGUAGAUAGGUCAGGAGUGGAAGUACAGUGAUGUAUGGAGCGGACUGAUACUAAUCGAUCGAGGACUUAACCAAU
RNAcentral lists this ribosomal RNA (305 nucleotides) under Enterococcus faecium. RNAcentral's name for it is "bacterial LSU rRNA". It matches the Rfam family "Bacterial large subunit ribosomal RNA", at positions 2623 to 2925 of the family's 2925-position model. The record is from RNAcentral. Lineage: Bacteria; Bacillati; Bacillota; Bacilli; Lactobacillales; Enterococcaceae.